Molecule: small nucleolar RNA, 49 nt
Filed under: Pyrobaculum calidifontis JCM 11548
Lineage: Archaea; Thermoproteati; Thermoproteota; Thermoprotei; Thermoproteales; Thermoproteaceae
Description: PCAsR54
Source: RNAcentral
AUGAAGAGACCUGGCAAGUCUUAACAGUGACGAGACAUUCAUGGGCUGA